CCUACGGGUGGCAGCAGUCGAGAAUCAUUCACAAUGGGGGAAACCCUGAUGGUGCGACGCCGCGUGGGGGAAUGAAGGUCUUCGGAUUGUAAACCCCUGUCAUGUGGGAGCAAAUUAAAAAGAUAGUACCACAAGAGGAAGAGACGGCUAAUUCUGUGCCAGUAGCCGCGGUCAUACAGAGGUCUUAAGCGUUGUUCGGAACCACUGGGCGUAAAGCGUGCGUAGGCUGUUUCGUAAGUCGUGUGUGAAAGGCGCGGGCUCAACCCGCGGACGGCACAUGAUACUGCGAGACUAGAGUAAUGGAGGGGGAACCGGAAUUCUCGGUGUAGCAGUGAAAUGCGUAGAUAUCGAGAGGAACACUCGUGGCGAAGGCGGGUUCCUGGACAUUAACUGACGCUGAGGCACGAAGGCCAGGGGAGCGAAAGGGAUUAGAUACCCGGGUAGUC
RNAcentral lists this ribosomal RNA (446 nucleotides) under uncultured bacterium. RNAcentral describes it as "partial 16S ribosomal RNA". It matches the Rfam family "Bacterial small subunit ribosomal RNA", at positions 338 to 795 of the family's 1533-position model. The record is from RNAcentral.